AGUCCCACUUUAAAAACACCUCU
This 23-nucleotide non-coding RNA is filed under the name Arabidopsis thaliana (thale cress). Lineage: Eukaryota; Viridiplantae; Streptophyta; Magnoliopsida; Brassicales; Brassicaceae. The record is from RNAcentral.